AACGUUGAAGACGACGACGUUGAUAGGUCGGGUGUGUAAGCGCAGCGAUGCGUUGAGCUAACCGAUACUAAUGAACCGUGAGGCUUAACCUUACAACGCCGAAG
RNAcentral lists this ribosomal RNA (104 nucleotides) under Enterobacter cloacae. RNAcentral's name for it is "partial 23S ribosomal RNA". The stretch from base 1 to 92 matches the Rfam family "Bacterial large subunit ribosomal RNA", at positions 2834 to 2925 of the family's 2925-position model. The record is from RNAcentral. Lineage: Bacteria; Pseudomonadati; Pseudomonadota; Gammaproteobacteria; Enterobacterales; Enterobacteriaceae.